Long non-coding RNA from Triticum aestivum (bread wheat), 962 nucleotides. RefSeq lists it as uncharacterized. The transcript has 3 exons. Lineage: Eukaryota; Viridiplantae; Streptophyta; Magnoliopsida; Poales; Poaceae. The record is from RefSeq and is a predicted model, not a curated record.
GCCGCCGCCACACUCUUUCUCGGGAUCCCUCCCGAUCCAAACCCACCAAUCACCAGACCUCUCUCGAUCCCCUCUGCCCGAGCUCCUCCUGCAGCUCCCCAUCGCCCUCGACCCUGCCUCGUCGUCUGGCCGACACCGGCGACCGAAACCUCGCCGGAGAUGAGUGCCUUGACAGCCCCGCUCCUUUUUCCCUCCUGCUUCUCAACCUCUCCUUCUAACGAUCUUCCCUUACCUUUCUCUAUUUUCUCUCAUAGGGAUCCAUGGCGCUGCCGCUUGGAGCUCUGCCUCCUUCGGCCACCUCCUUGCCUCGUCGCCAUCGACCUGCAGAGGGACACGCCAUGGCCACCCUCGUCUUCAAGUCGCGUCGCCCGCGCCCAGAUUUGGCGCCCUCAGCAUGCCCAUGCAUGGGUUCCGCGCAUCCCCGACCUCUCCUGCAACCCUUUAUCAAACUCCAUGGGCAGGCUCCCAUGUUCGACUCUUUGCGCCGCCCCGUUUGACCUCCAGUUCCAGUCCCUCGUCGCCACCGCAUCGCCAGGCGCCUCGUCAUCGGGGAGCACCCCAACACUGUUGUUGAGUUGCAGCAACCUUCGAGUUUGAGCAGCCACCUCCUGCACGGAUCGAGGACCUCCUGUUGCUCGGAUCUGGACGCCGCUGAGCUCCCGCGUCGGAUCGGACUCCUCCGCACAUCCCCGACCUCUGGCCUCGCCGUGCCGUCCCCGUGCAGGUUCCUGCCUCUGCCUCAUCCUCGUCCGAGCAGAGGACGACUGCUUCUUCAUCGCGCGCAAGGGCUGCAGCCGCGGCAAGGCCCAGCCAGCGUCUCUGCCAGCAGCCUUGCGUCCCCCCAACUGGGCCUCAGCCCACUAGCUUCGGUUUCGUUCCGGAGUUGUGAGGAUCCGUUCAUCUACGUCCAUUUGUCUUCUUCAUGGACUCGUUCUUCUUCCUUGCGGGAUUUCAGGCAAGAU